Molecule: ribosomal RNA, 732 nt
Filed under: Bacillus infantis
Lineage: Bacteria; Bacillati; Bacillota; Bacilli; Caryophanales; Bacillaceae
Description: bacterial SSU rRNA
Rfam family: Bacterial small subunit ribosomal RNA
Source: RNAcentral
AUGCAAGUCGAGCGGACGGAUGGGAGCUUGCUCCCUGAAGUCAGCGGCGGACGGGUGAGUAACACGUGGGCAACCUGCCUGUAAGACUGGGAUAACUUCGGGAAACCGGAGCUAAUACCGGAUAAUGCACAACCUCUCAUGAGGCUAUGCUGAAAGAUGGUUUCGGCUAUCACUUACAGAUGGGCCCGCGGCGCAUUAGCUAGUUGGUGAGGUAACGGCUCACCAAGGCAACGAUGCGUAGCCGACCUGAGAGGGUGAUCGGCCACACUGGGACUGAGACACGGCCCAGACUCCUACGGGAGGCAGCAGUAGGGAAUCUUCCGCAAUGGACGAAAGUCUGACGGAGCAACGCCGCGUGAGUGAUGAAGGUUUUCGGAUCGUAAAACUCUGUUGUCAGGGAAGAACAAGUGCCGGAGUAACUGCCGGCACCUUGACGGUACCUGACCAGAAAGCCACGGCUAACUACGUGCCAGCAGCCGCGGUAAUACGUAGGUGGCAAGCGUUGUCCGGAAUUAUUGGGCGUAAAGCGCGCGCAGGCGGUCUCUUAAGUCUGAUGUGAAAGCCCACGGCUCAACCGUGGAGGGUCAUUGGAAACUGGGGGACUUGAGUGCAGAAGAGGAAAGUGGAAUUCCACGUGUAGCGGUGAAAUGCGUAGAGAUGUGGAGGAACACCAGUGGCGAAGGCGACUUUCUGGUCUGUAACUGACGCUGAGGCGCGAAAGCGUGGGGAGCA